CCUGGGAAUUCCUCGUGUUGCACCCCU
RNAcentral lists this ribosomal RNA (27 nucleotides) under Artemisia absinthium. RNAcentral also lists the same sequence under 1 other name. Lineage: Eukaryota; Viridiplantae; Streptophyta; Magnoliopsida; Asterales; Asteraceae. The record is from RNAcentral.